ACGGGGGGGGCAAGCGUUGUUCGGAAUUACUGGGCGUAAAGGGCUCGUAGGCGGCCAACUAAGUCGGAUGUGAAAUCCCCAGGCUCAACCUGGGAACUGCAUCCGAUACUGGAUGGCUUGAGUUCGGGAGAGGGAUGCGGAAUUCCAGGUGUAGCGGUGAAAUGCGUAGAUAUCGGGAGGAACACCUGUGGCGAAAGCGGCUCACUGGACAGUAACUGACGCUGAUGCACGAAAGCUAGGGGAGCAAACAGGA
This 253-nucleotide ribosomal RNA is filed under the name uncultured prokaryote. RNAcentral describes it as "partial 16S ribosomal RNA". It matches the Rfam family "Bacterial small subunit ribosomal RNA", at positions 525 to 777 of the family's 1533-position model. The record is from RNAcentral.